CCUACGGGGGGCAGCAGUGAGGAAUAUUGGUCAAUGGACGAGAGUCUGAACCAGCCAAGUAGCGUGAAGGAUGACUGCCCUAUGGGUUGUAAACUUCUUUUAUAUGGGAAUAAAAUGUUCCACGUGUGGGAUUUUGUAUGUACCAUAUGAAUAAGGAUCGGCUAACUCCGUGCCAGCAGCCGCGGUAAUACGGAGGAUCCGAGCGUUAUCCGGAUUUAUUGGGUUUAAAGGGAGCGUAGGUGGAUUGUUAAGUCAGUUGUGAAAGUUUGCGCCUCAACCGUAAAAUUGCAGUUGAAACUGGCAGUCUUGAGUACAGUAGAGGUGGGCGGAAUUCGUGGUGUAGCGGUGAAAUGCUUAGAUAUCACGAAGAACUCCGAUUGCGAAGGCAGUUCACUGGACUGCAACUGACACUGAGGCUCGAAAGUGUGGGUAUCAAACAGGAUUAGAUACCCGAGUAGUC
RNAcentral lists this ribosomal RNA (460 nucleotides) under uncultured bacterium. RNAcentral describes it as "partial 16S ribosomal RNA". It matches the Rfam family "Bacterial small subunit ribosomal RNA", at positions 338 to 795 of the family's 1533-position model. The record is from RNAcentral.